GUGCUCACUUCAGCAGCACAUAUACUAAAAUUAGAAUGAUACGGAGAAGAUGAACAGGGCCAUGCACCAGAUGAUAUGCCAAUUCAUGAAGUGUUCCUUUCUUAU
Molecule: small nuclear RNA, 105 nt
Organism: Sorex araneus (European shrew)
Lineage: Eukaryota; Metazoa; Chordata; Mammalia; Eulipotyphla; Soricidae
Source: Ensembl